Long non-coding RNA from Puntigrus tetrazona (Sumatra barb), 786 nucleotides. RefSeq lists it as uncharacterized. The transcript has 3 exons. The record is from RefSeq and is a predicted model, not a curated record. Lineage: Eukaryota; Metazoa; Chordata; Actinopteri; Cypriniformes; Cyprinidae.
GUGUGUGUUCUCCUCUCCUCACUCCUGUCCUCCAUCUGUGUUUACUGCUACUGUUCAGCUCAGACCUCAGGUUCUUCAGAUCUACUCACAGCAGAUGUUAUUAAGUGGGAUCUAAUGGAGAAACAUCAGUGUGAUUUGAGGAAGACUGGAAACAUCUGCCUCCACACUGAAGUCUCUUAUAGACUGCUAACAUCUGAACAUCCCUACGCCAAGAUGUGAUUCUACCUGCUCGAUUUAUACAACUGUAUUUAUUUCUUUGAUACUGACACUUGUCCUUGUUGAACUCAUACUGUCUUUUUGUGGGCACAGUGGGCCAAGGCCAUACCAUACCAAACAUACCAGUGUGUGCUUUGCUUUUACACGGUUUGCUUUUUGUUUCUUUGUGUAUUUAUAUUUUGGGCUCUGUGUAGCUGUAUUAUUGUAUUAUUGUAUAAUUGUUUUCUAUUUUGUAAUAAAUCCAUCGAUUUGAAAUCCUUUUGACUACUGUACAUUUUCGACAACAUAGACUAGAGGUACCCAACCUUGUUCCCGGGGAUCUACCUUCCUGCAGAGUUCAGCUAUGGGUCACUACCAUUCAUACACUACAAUUCAAAAUGCAGAAGUGUGAAAGAGGUCUACUGGAGGAAGUGAGAGACUAUAUGUUUUUGAAUGGGUACCUUCCAAAUGUAAUGUUGUUUUGGGACAAACUGGGUUAGAGAUAAACUUAAGGCUAAUAUAUUCAUACUAUACGUAUUCAGAAUCCCACAUUUUAUUCAGUCAGUCUAUUAAGGUGUAUCAUGCAGACGU